Molecule: long non-coding RNA, 260 nt
Organism: Poecilia latipinna (sailfin molly)
Lineage: Eukaryota; Metazoa; Chordata; Actinopteri; Cyprinodontiformes; Poeciliidae
Exons: 3
Source: RefSeq, a predicted model, not a curated record
UCGGAUAAUCCAUUUUUACAAGAUUUUACAAGAUUAGUACUUACAUGAGCUUGUGUUUCAUUUGUUCCUGUUGCAGGUAUCGUGGUUUUAUUCUCCUCCUCACAUUCCUCUUCUACACAGCCUACCACCUCUCCAGGAAGCCAAUCAGCAUUGUUAAGAGUGAACUGCAUAGAAACUGUUCAUUAGUCAUUCGACCAGCGUACCUCAACAUAACUGAUAAUGAUACCUGGUGUGACUGGGCGCCUUUUGAUCAAUCAACU